Danio rerio (zebrafish) is the source of this 54-nucleotide non-coding RNA. The record is from Rfam. Lineage: Eukaryota; Metazoa; Chordata; Actinopteri; Cypriniformes; Danionidae.
CUUGUCCUCAUUUGUAGGUCGCUUUGGAUAAAAGCGUCUGCUAAAUGAAUAAAU